This 828-nucleotide non-coding RNA is filed under the name Callospermophilus lateralis (golden-mantled ground squirrel). Lineage: Eukaryota; Metazoa; Chordata; Mammalia; Rodentia; Sciuridae. The record is from RNAcentral.
UGGCCUUUUUAUUAACUCCUAGCUAACUUAUACAUGCAAGUAUCCCCGUUCCAGUGAGAAUGCCCUCUAUAUCUAUUAACUGAUCAAAAGGUGCAGGCAUCAAGUUCACUUAUCCUAGUGGCUCAUAACGCCUUGCUCCACCACACCCCCACGGGACACAGCAGUAAUUAAAAUUAAGCCUAUGAACGAAAGUUUGACUAAGUUAAGCUAAAUCUAGGGUUGGUAAAUUUCGUGCCAGCCACCGCGGUCAUACGAUUAACCCCUGUUAAUAAAACACGGCGUAAAGCGUGAUUAAGAGAUAAAUUAAAUAAGAUUAAAAUAUUAUUAAACCGUAAAAAGUCCUGAUAAUAAUGAAAAUCAAAUGCGAAAGUAAUCUUAAAUCGUCUGAAUUCACGAUAGCUAAGGCCCAAACUGGGAUUAGAUACCCCACUAUGCUUAGCCCUAAACAUAAACAUUUAACAAACAAGAAUGUUCGCCAGAGUACUACUAGCAACAGCCUAAAACUCAAAGGACUUGGCGGUGCUUUAUAUCCCUCUAGAGGAGCCUGUUCUAUAAUCGAUAAACCCCGAUACACCUCACCACCUUUAGCAAAUAUCAGCCUAUAUACCGCCAUCUGCAGCAAACCCUAAAAAGGUCUAACAGUAAGCAAGAAAAUUCUACAUUAAUACGUUAGGUCAAGGUGUAGCCUAUAAGGUGGAAAGCAAUGGGCUACAUUUUCUAUUACCUUAGAAAAAUUUUCACGAUAGCUUUUAUGAAACUCAAAGCAUAAGGCGGAUUUAGUAGUAAGUUAAGAAUAGAGAGCUUAACUGAAUAGGGCAAUAAAGCACG